This 5320-nucleotide long non-coding RNA is filed under the name Helianthus annuus (common sunflower). RNAcentral's name for it is "hypothetical non coding rna". Lineage: Eukaryota; Viridiplantae; Streptophyta; Magnoliopsida; Asterales; Asteraceae. The record is from RNAcentral.
UUUUUGUCUCAAAGAUUUGAAACAAAAAAUCCAUACAAGAUCUCUAGAGAUCUCACCUAAAUCUCUAUAUAAAACACCCUCCAUCUUCUCCAAAUUAAAUCACAAACACACAGAACUCUUUACACUCAAAUAUACACACAGAUAUUACUCUCCUCUCUCCCUUUGUCUGCAUAUCAAUUUACACACACACAAAACACAACACUGAGAUUUUUUUUACUCUCAUCUUCCCCAUAAUCUAUACUAUAACAAAUACCCACACAAAAUCAAACACCCACCCCCGCAUCCCUCGGUUCCCUCUUUCCAGGCGACACCCACCUUCUCCUCUUGACAACAAAACGGACCACCACCACCACCGUCCGGUGGUGGUGAGCGACAGCUGCAGAAACGGAGCGGGAGAGAGAGAGGCAAUGAAAGAGACAGAGGCGAGAGAGACGACGAGAUGGAUAGAUCGAGAGGAGAAAGAGAGUGACGGCGGAGAAGAAGCGGCGCCGCCGCUCAUGGCGGCGGCGGGAGUGGCGGUGGUUCGGGUCUCGGUCUGACGAAUUUCCGGCCAAAUUUGGGAAGACUUGCGAGUCUCGGCUCACCCACAGGUUGGUUCGGAUCGAACCUGGUCAAGUCUUGGAUGGUCAACAACAGUCAAAGUUUGGUCAACCGCUCGGGUCAACAGUGGGCAAGUUUGUUUUGGGUCAAGCAUGGAUCGGACGAGUCAGAUUCGCUCGUUUAACUCAGCGAGUCGACUCGGUCAAACCCGAGUCAACUCGGUCAGCACAGUCAAAGCGAGUCAACUCAGUUGACCCGGUCAACUCAGUCCGCGGUUCGACGCGAGAGAUUUGGAAUAUUGUAGAAUGCACGCUAGCGAGUCUCGUCUUGGAAACGACAUCACGAAGUCGUAUAUAGCUUGCUUUGCACAUGAAUAUUCAGGUUGCUUUUCAUAGUUAUGGCAUGGUUGGAAUAGGAGAACCAUGUGGAGUCGAAUACUUAGUGGCGUUCAUUUUCUAAAAGACUUAACUUUUUUGCUUCCGCUGUGCAAUGAAGAUACCAGUCCAGUCACGCCAAUGCUCUGAUAAUUUAGGGGUGUGACAGAUUGGUAUCAGAGCUAUAGGUUACAACGAAUAAGGUUUUCUGUAGGAUUACCUAGGCUCUAACCUCACUUUUCUCUGGGACUUAGACUAUUAAGACGUUGAAUACAUACAAAACGCAUAGUACUUGAAUAUGGUCUCCAACCGUUGCCGAAAAACAAACAGUCAAAGUUUUGUUUUCAAACAUACGCUAUUGUGGUGUUUUAUACAUGGUACACAAAAACAGUCGCAUACAGUACACAAAACUCUGAGAGUUUAGGAAAUAUACAUUUAAGACCUUCGGAAACCAAUGUUGAAAUUCAUUAAAGGUCAUCACGUAGGAACCACGUUUAUUAACUCGGGAAAACGCCAUUAUUGUGUCAUCUAUGCUAUUUUUAACCAAGCAGGUAACCUACGCAAAACAAAGCACGGGCGUGCAAGAUUUCACGAAACUCAAUCUACAUGACGACAGAGAUUGAAGUACGUUACAUACGACUUUCGAGGAAGCGGCAGUUUGGCACGCGGUUCUGCAAACGACACGAGUCAUACUAAGGAGAAGAUGUAUGUCUCCGCAUUCCCCCUAACUCAAUAACGACGAAUACACUAUGUCCGGCAUUUCAUGGUAAAGUCACCCAACAACUGAUUAUCACAUGAAACCCCAGGUAAAGUCCUUGAAUUUAUUUAUUGAAAUUCCGACUUUUGCAUCUAGUGAGUAGAUUUUCGCAUCUCUACUCCUUUUAAUGGUCAUUGUAUCACGAUCAUUCUUUCAUUAUAGCGAAUAUUCAAUUGCUUCAUUCAUAUGUUACGCAUGCAUCGUUUGUUACGCAUGUGGUUUCGUUUUGAAUAAGCGUUUCAUUUGUUCUGAGUCGUAGUGGACUUGUUUGGUCUAUGACUCCAUUAAGUUGUUUGUUGAUUUCGACACCUUGUGAUGGUGUUUUCACUAAUUGAAGCUUGCGCUAAGUUCGUUUACGCAUCUCAUGCACGGAUUUAAAUAUUUAUUUAUUGAUUUGCUUUAAAUCCGAUUUGAUUAUCAUAUUUAAGCGUCUUAACACAAUUGUGUGUUAUGACAAUGGUACACAAAUUCAUUGCACAUUCCGGUGUACCUACUAAAGUUUCUUUCAACAUCGAUCGAAUAUUUUGCGAUAUUUAUUGCUUCUUCGUCUUCGAUCGAAAACACUAUUUCUUUGAUGUUUCAUUUUCAAUUGAAAAUCCUAUGACGUCAUUUGAAACAAACUUUCAGAUUCACUUUAUUGCGCUUUCAUUUGACUUCAGACACAUUGAAUUUGUUUGAUCACCGCUAUUAUUGAAUUGUUUCAUUCACUACGACACCUUGUGGCGUCAGUAGAACUUACAGCUUGGGCUGAUCAUGAUCGAGCAUUUCAUACAAAACAAUUUCGUUUGGGCUUGUUGAUUCUAAGCUUCUCCUAGCGAAUGUUAUUGUUUCUAACAUUCAUUUACAUAUUGUAAACGUCCAUUGGAAUUCUUUUGGUAGAAAUUCCUCUUUUAUUGGACCCCUGUUAAACUUGAUCACACUAGUGACUGUAUUAGUAUGCUUCGUUUCCUUUGACAUUAUUCGUAUUUACUUACAUAUAACGUAACUCUAAGGAGUUGACAUAGUCUAAAUUACGAGGAUGAAAUUUUAUUAACAGGGGGAGAAUGUGACAACCGGUAAUUUACGCCAUUAAUUACGUGAUUAACAAGCGAUUUACGCAACAUUAAAUAGUGUUUACGAUGCAAAUUAACUUAAUUAGGGCCUCAGUAAGCUUAGGAACGCUUAUGCGGUUCUACAGUGCGCGUGUGACGAUCUGCGAAGAGACUGUUGGAAAUUAAACGGUAAUAAACUGAAACCGUACGAAAUACUGACGACACCGACAAAUAUGGAUGUUACACGAAUAUUUUUAUGCUUAUGGAGUUUGGGUUGCGAUAUCGGGUCUCGUAGGAAUUACGGGCCACUUACACAUGAGAUGGGCUUGUGGGCCCUGGGCCCAAGCCCAAAACCCACAAGCCUAAACCUACACUUAAUAUAUUUGACCUAUUAAGAUCUCUACUAGAUAUUGCAAAACCUGUAUAAAAUCUUUACAAAUCUUGCCAAAAUCCUAGUAAAAUCUCUAAAGAUUUUUGUCUCAAAGAUUUGAAACACAAAAUCCAUACAAGAUUUCUAGAGAUCUCACCCAAAUCUCUAUAUAAAACACCCUCCGUCUUCUCCAAAUUAAAUCACAAACACACAGAACUCUUUACACUCAAAUAUACACACAAAUAUUACUCUCCUCUCUCCCUUUGUCUGCAUAUCAAUUUACGUGACUAACGAGCUCGAACCCAUUUAGGAUCAGUAUUUAGUUUACAUUUUAAACAUAUGAUGAAAAUUAACAUAUUGAUAUUGAUAUUGAUAUUGAUAUUGAGUAUAUUGUUGAUUGAAUUUCGAUAAAAUAACGACGACUUGUGUCGUCGGGGGCGUCCGAAAACAGAGGAAACUCUGCCCGAUUUCCGAGAAAAUCCGUAAAAUAAAACAUGUUUUAAAGCAAACCAAAACGGACCAAGUAACUUUUAUGAAAUAACUACAAAUGUAUGUUGUUUCCACCGGCACUUUAUAACUUGCAAAAAAACAACGACGACGCAAACUAUUAUACAAAAUAAAUAUAGUUAUUAUUAUAUUUAUUUCAAACGUAAACUUGAAUCAUUUUAUAAAUAAAUAUAGUAUAUAUAUUUAUUUCAAAAAUCGCGUAACACGAAUUCGUUUUAUAAAAAUAAAUACAGUUUUUAUAUUUAUUUCAAAUAUCGUACCACACGAAUUCCUUUAUAAAAAUAAAUAUAUUUUUAUAUUUAUUACAAACUUCAAACAAACUCGUUGAUACUUUCGCAAAAUAAAUAUAACUUUUUAUAUUUAUUACAAACGCCGAAACGGCACAUACGUACAUUUUGACAAAUAGCAUACAAGACACAACAAAUAUAUAAUACAAGUUUAUUAUAUAUUACUUUCGUACGAAAAUUCCUAUAUACACAAACGACUUCUCGGGGCGACAAAGUAUAACUUAAUCAUUUGUAUUAAGUUAACAACUUAUCGUCAACGAUUCGGUAGAGCUCGGUAACACGUAGUUUAGUUACUGCUUUUAUUUAGAAACUUAUAAGAUAUUCCAUGUUAGGAAUAUUGUAGAAUGUACGCUAGCGAGUCUCGUCUUGGAAACGACAUCAGGAAGUCGUAUAUAGCUAGCUUUGCACAGGAAUAUUCAGGUGAGUUCAUAACCCCACCUUUUCAAUGUUUUACAUUUUUCUAAAUGUUUUCGGGGUGGAAAGACAUGCACUUUUUGCAAAGCAUACAAGAAUUACAUAUUUCUAAACCAUUUUACAAGCAAGUUUUAACUGACACAAAUGGUUUACGAAAAGCUUCUGUUGCAUACCGGUUUUCAAACAAGCGUAUUUUUCGAAAUAUGCAUACUGAUGUGCACAAAAUGCAACAUAUAAAUUACAUCAAUUGUUGCAUAAAACUAACCCUUUUUUAGUACUAAUGUUGGAAAAAGUGUGCUUUUGUCUUCCUUUUGUAUUUUCAAGAUUAAAUGAGCUCAAAUAAACAAAAGAAGCAAAAAGGCAGCUAAAUCUAACAUAAAUACAAGAAAAGGAGCAAAACGUGGCAAAACAAGAAGACAGAAGACUGAACACGCCCCGUGCUCAGUGAGCACGGGGGUGUGCCCAAGUGUCAGCAGAAAAGACAGUUGUAGAAGCUUCCAUCGCCCACCACGGGGCCGUGCUUAGCGGACACGAGCCGUGGUCAACUAUAAGAUUCGCGGAAUCCAGGCAAAUCUUGAUAGUACAGAUAUGCUUCUGCACACGGGGUCGUGCUCAGCGGACACGGGGGCGUGGUCAACUAAUGCAGACAAACUGCAUUUAAUGAAGAAAGAGAGGAGGAUGGACACGGGGCUGUGCCCAAUGGACACGGGGCCGUGCCCAAGCUUCUGUUCAGCCUAUAAAUAGGAGUGCUUGGAGCUCUUGCAACUCAUCCCUUCGCACACCACCUCUCUCACACUUCACCCACCACCAUCACAACACCAUCAUCCAUUGUCCAUCAUAGAGUGUGUGAGUCGUCUCGGGAUCCAAGAUUGAUCGUAAGAGUUCUUGACAAUCAAAGGCCAUGUUUGCCUAAGUCUCUUACAUCACUUGGUGAAGACAAGUGUUUAGUGUAAUACUUUUUAUUUUUAAUCUUUUGCACUUUUUAAUUGGUUUUGUAUUAAUGACUUUAAUUACUUGUUUCUUAUGUUGAAGGUGAUUCU